UCCCCGUUCGUCUAAUUGGCAGGACACCGGAUUCUGGUUCCGGGAGUUGAGGUUCGAGUCCUUGACUGGGAG
This 72-nucleotide transfer RNA is filed under the name Rhodococcus (subgen. Prescottella) equi. RNAcentral describes it as "Prescottella equi tRNA-Gln". It matches the Rfam family "tRNA". Rfam says of the family: Transfer RNA (tRNA) molecules are approximately 80 nucleotides in length. Their secondary structure includes four short double-helical elements and three loops (D, anti-codon, and T loops). Lineage: Bacteria; Bacillati; Actinomycetota; Actinomycetes; Mycobacteriales; Nocardiaceae. The record is from RNAcentral.